AGAUUGAACGCUGGCGGCAGGCCUAACACAUGCAAGUCGAGCGGCAGCACGGGUACUUGUACCUGGUGGCGAGCGGCGGACGGGUGAGUAAUGCCUAGGAAUCUGCCUGGUAGUGGGGGAUAACGCUCGGAAACGGACGCUAAUACCGCAUACGUCCUACGGGAGAAAGCAGGGGACCUUCGGGCCUUGCGCUAUCAGAUGAGCCUAGGUCGGAUUAGCUAGUUGGUGAGGUAAUGGCUCACCAAGGCGACGAUCCGUAACUGGUCUGAGAGGACGAUCAGUCACACUGGAACUGAGACACGGUCAGACUCUACGGAGCAGCAGUGGGAAUAGUUGACAAGUGGGA
Molecule: ribosomal RNA, 346 nt
Filed under: uncultured soil bacterium
Lineage: Bacteria
Description: bacterial SSU rRNA
Rfam family: Bacterial small subunit ribosomal RNA
Source: RNAcentral